Molecule: ribosomal RNA, 249 nt
Filed under: uncultured bacterium
Lineage: Bacteria
Description: partial 16S ribosomal RNA
Rfam family: Bacterial small subunit ribosomal RNA
Source: RNAcentral
UGAGGAAUAUUGCGCAAUGGGCGAAAGCCUGACGCAGCGACGCCGCGUGGAGGAUGAAGGUCUUCGGAUUGUAAACUUCUGUUAAGUGGAAAGAAAGACUCAUCUCUAAUACAGAUGAGUUAUGACGGUACCAUUAGAGAAAGCACCGGCUAACUUCGUGCCAGCAGCCGCGGUAAUACGAAGGGUGCAAGCGUUAUUCGGAAUUAUUGGGCGUAAAGGGCGCGUAGACGGUUUGUUAAGUCUGUUGUU